Long non-coding RNA from Sinocyclocheilus anshuiensis, 466 nucleotides. RefSeq lists it as uncharacterized. The transcript has 2 exons. NCBI's taxonomy places the organism in Eukaryota, Metazoa, Chordata, Actinopteri, Cypriniformes, Cyprinidae. The record is from RefSeq and is a predicted model, not a curated record.
AUAAAUAUGUCAUAAUAGCAGCCCACGGCAACAGCCUCCGUGGUAUCGUCAAGCACUUAGAGAGCAUGUCAGAUGCAGCCAUCAUGGAGCUUAACCUGCCCACAGGCAUUCCCAUCGUCUAUGAGCUGGACAAGGACCUGAAGCCCAUCAAACCCAUGCAGUUCCUGGGAGACGAGGAAACAGUGCGCAAAGCCAUGGAGGCUGUGGCCGCCCAGGGCAAGGUCAAAAAGUGAAGAGCUGACACAACCCAGAGACUGAAAUAUCCUGAACCUAAAAGAAAGGGGCGCAUUAUUGGACCCAAGUCUGUUUGAAGACCACCAAAUGAAUGAAAGUGAACACAUGACAUGGACAGGACUGUCACCCCUCCCCCCAAACAUUCUCACAUUUCACCACCAUUUAUAAACCCCCUUGUGUUGGACUGCCCCAUUCUGACACAGGAAAUAAAAGUGAGCACCAUUUUGUGUAC